GUGGGGAAUAUUGCACAAUGGGCGGAAGCCUGAUGCAGCGACGCCGCGUGAGGGAUGACGGCCUUCGGGUUGUAAACCUCUUUCAGCAGGGACGAAGCGCAAGUGACGGUACCUGCAGAAGAAGCACCGGCCAACUACGUGCCAGCAGCCGCGGUAAUACGUAGGGUGCAAGCGUUGUCCGGAAUUACUGGGCGUAAAGAGCUCGUAGGCGGUUUGUCGCGUCGUCUGUGAAAUCCCGUGGCUCAACCACGGGCGUGCAGGCGAUACGGGCAGACUUGAGUACUGCAGGGGAGACUGGAAUUCCUGGUGUAGCGGUGAAAUGCGCAGAUAUCAGGAGGAACACCGGUGGCGAAGGCGGGUCUCUGGGCAGUAACUGACGCUGAGGAGCGAAAGCGUGGGUAGCGAACAGGAUUAGAAACCCUAGUAGUCC
This 430-nucleotide ribosomal RNA is filed under the name uncultured bacterium. Its description in RNAcentral is "bacterial SSU rRNA". It matches the Rfam family "Bacterial small subunit ribosomal RNA", at positions 354 to 796 of the family's 1533-position model. The record is from RNAcentral.